AACGCACGAGACCUGCGGACCUGCGGAGGGAUCAUUAAUGAGAAGCUGCCCCUCGUGGGUAGACUUCCCACCCUCUGUGAACUUACCUUUGUUGCUUUGGCAGGCCCGUCCUCUGGACCGCCGGCUUCGGCUGGCCCGUGCCUGCCAGAGGAUUCCAAACCCUGUCUGUCAGUGUUGUCUGAGUCUAUAUGAAAUCGUUAAAACUUUCAACAAUGGAUCUCUAGAUCGGAAGAGCACACG
RNAcentral lists this unclassified non-coding RNA (240 nucleotides) under soil metagenome. RNAcentral describes it as "partial contains 5.8S ribosomal RNA, internal transcribed spacer 2, and large subunit ribosomal RNA". The record is from RNAcentral.